Molecule: long non-coding RNA, 908 nt
Organism: Synchiropus splendidus (mandarinfish)
Lineage: Eukaryota; Metazoa; Chordata; Actinopteri; Syngnathiformes; Callionymidae
Exons: 4
Source: RefSeq, a predicted model, not a curated record
AUUUUAUUUUGUUUUCUUUGCAUGGAAUGCGACCAACAAGCGGGGCCUCCGGGCCUAACAUGAGCCACCACAAGGGGGCGCGAUCUCCGCCAGUCCUCAUGGAAACCACCUGAAUGUGAAAAUGUGAAUUUCAGUAACGAGUGAAGGUGUGAGGAUGGACACUCAAAUGACCCCAAGAACGGACGGAAGGUGACAAGAGAGGCGUCACAUGGCAAGGAUGUGGAGGAAGCUGCGUGUGCCGGAUGACGGCGUCUGUGGAGGUGGAUGGACGCGUACAGACAAGCUCUGAGGCCAUCGAACCACAUCGCUUCUCCCUCCAUACGAUGCAAGGCGACAACAACUGAGAGGUACACAUCAUUUGCAAUCCCACCAUGAUCUGUGACCUCUGAGGAGCAGCGUCACUGGCCUUGCAUGUCAUUACGAUGUAAAGAGCAGUUCUAUUUACGAUACUUGAUAUUUCACAACAUUUCAUACACAUCCCUGCACACUGUUGGUUUGCUGGGAGGCACGGACAAAGUGAGUGACACAUCACAAACAUACACCAUUAUGCAAAAGCCUCAUAGCCAUGCUGCAUCCUCGGGGUCUUGAAAGUCCAGCAGCUGUCGCUGCAGUCAAAAGGCACCAUUCGCUCAGGGAUAGACAGACUCAACACACAGCACGUGACAGACCACUACUGUACCACACACAACCCCCAACCACCAUUGUCCUGCUUUAAAUAACCAUGACGAUCAGAAGACUACAAUGAGAGCAACAGCGUUUGCACGGAUUCUUAUCACCUUGUGUAAUCCCGGGCGCAAGCCUUCACUCAUCAAGAUUUAGGUUAAACGGCUGCCCAGACAGGGACAAUGAAAUCAUGUUUCUUUUUAUAGAUGUCAAGCGAUAUUCAUAACCUCGCUGCCACCAGACCC